Non-coding RNA from Venturia effusa, 131 nucleotides. The record is from the annotation of a GenBank genome assembly. Lineage: Eukaryota; Fungi; Ascomycota; Dothideomycetes; Venturiales; Venturiaceae.
GCGUGGGUGGUUUAAUGGGUGAGCAUGAUUCCUUCUCGUCCAAUUACGUCCCAGCUAAUACCCCCUAGUAAAAUCCGUGCUUGCCAUACAGCAGGUUGCACGGGCUCCGAGUUCGAUUCUCGGUCCACGCA